RNAcentral lists this ribosomal RNA (703 nucleotides) under Podila horticola. RNAcentral describes it as "eukaryotic LSU rRNA". It matches the Rfam family "Eukaryotic large subunit ribosomal RNA", at positions 92 to 649 of the family's 3401-position model. Lineage: Eukaryota; Fungi; Mortierellomycota; Mortierellomycetes; Mortierellales; Mortierellaceae. The record is from RNAcentral.
AGUGAAGCGGGAUGAGCUCAAAUUUGAAAUCUGGCUGGUUUACUAGUCCGAGUUGUAAUUUAAAGAAGCGUUUUCGGUGGCAGCCUGGGUAUAAAUCCUUUGGAAUAGGGUAUCAUAGAGGGUGAGAAUCCCGUCUUUGACCUAGUGCAUGCUACUAUGUGAUACGUUUUCAAAGAGUCGAGUUGUUUGGGAAUGCAGCUCAAAAUGGGUGGUAAAUUUCAUCUAAAGCUAAAUAUUGGCGAGAGACCGAUAGCGAACAAGUACCGUGAGGGAAAGAUGAAAAGAACUUUGAAAAGAGAGUUAAACAGUGCGUGAAAUUGUUGAAAGGGAAACGUUUGACACCAGUCAUGUGGGUGGAAAAUCAGUCUUUUGCAUUGGGGAGUUGUAAGGGUUCGGACCGCAAGGCCGGCUUUUGCUUCAUCUUUGGUGUAAGUGAUGCACUUUUUCAUCUACAGGUCAACAUCAGUUUCUUUUGCUGGACAAAACUCCGAGAGAAGGUAGCAGCUUAGGCUGUGUUAUAGCUCUGGAGCGAUACAGUGAAGGGGACUGAGGUUUUCGCAGCGUGUGCUCUCGGGCAAGGCUGGAUGGGUGCUAUGGGAUCGUUCGGGGUACAAUGCCUGGCAUUUUGCUUCGUGUCUUUUCUAUACUCGCUCAACUCAGCUCUUCCACGCUUAGGAUGUUGACUUAAUGGUUUUAAACGACC